CACUGUGACCAUACCACCUUGAGAAUGCCCAAUCUUCUCUGAUCUCAGAAGCUAAACAGGGAUGGGCCUGGUUUGUACUUCGAUAGAAGAACAGUAGAAAUACCAGGUUCAGCANNNN
Molecule: ribosomal RNA, 118 nt
Filed under: Periophthalmus magnuspinnatus
Lineage: Eukaryota; Metazoa; Chordata; Actinopteri; Gobiiformes; Gobiidae
Source: RNAcentral